This 1532-nucleotide ribosomal RNA is filed under the name Escherichia coli. RNAcentral describes it as "bacterial SSU rRNA". It matches the Rfam family "Bacterial small subunit ribosomal RNA". Lineage: Bacteria; Pseudomonadati; Pseudomonadota; Gammaproteobacteria; Enterobacterales; Enterobacteriaceae. The record is from RNAcentral.
UUGAAGAGUUUGAUCAUGGCUCAGAUUGAACGCUGGCGGCAGGCCUAACACAUGCAAGUCGAACGGUAACAGGAAACAGCUUGCUGUUUCGCUGACGAGUGGCGGACGGGUGAGUAAUGUCUGGGAAACUGCCCGAUGGAGGGGGAUAACUACUGGAAACGGUAGCUAAUACCGCAUAACGUCGCAAGACCAAAGAGGGGGACCUUCGGGCCUCUUGCCAUCGGAUGUGCCCAGAUGGGAUUAGCUAGUAGGUGGGGUAACGGCUCACCUAGGCGACGAUCCCUAGCUGGUCUGAGAGGAUGACCAGCCACACUGGAACUGAGACACGGUCCAGACUCCUACGGGAGGCAGCAGUGGGGAAUAUUGCACAAUGGGCGCAAGCCUGAUGCAGCCAUGCCGCGUGUAUGAAGAAGGCCUUCGGGUUGUAAAGUACUUUCAGCGGGAGGAAGGAGUAAAGUUAAUACCUUUGCUCAUUGACGUUACCCGCAGAAGAAGCACCGGCUAACUCCGUGCCAGCAGCCGCGGUAAUACGGAGGGUGCAAGCGUUAAUCGGAAUUACUGGGCGUAAAGCGCACGCAGGCGGUUUGUUAAGUCAGAUGUGAAAUCCCCGGCUCAACCGGGAACUGCAUCUGAUACUGGCAAGCUUGAGUCUCGUAGAGGGGGGUAGAAUUCCAGGUGUAGCGGUGAAAUGCGUAGAGAUCUGGAGGAAUACCGGUGGCGAAGGCGGCCCCCUGGACGAAGACUGACGCUCAGGUGCGAAAGCGUGGGGAGCAAACAGGAUUAGAUACCCUGGUAGUCCACGCCGUAAACGAUGUCGACUUGGAGGUUGUGCCCUUGAGGCGUGGCUUCCGGAGCUAACGCGUUAAGUCGACCGCCUGGGGAGUACGGCCGCAAGGUUAAAACUCAAAUGAAUUGACGGGGGCCCGCACAAGCGGUGGAGCAUGUGGUUUAAUUCGAUGCAACGCGAAGAACCUUACCUGGUCUUGACAUCCACGGAAGUUUUCAGAGAUGAGAAUGUGCCUUCGGGAACCGUGAGACAGGUGCUGCAUGGCUGUCGUCAGCUCGUGUUGUGAAAUGUUGGGUUAAGUCCCGCAACGAGCGCAACCCUUAUCCUUUGUUGCCAGCGGUCCGGCCGGGAACUCAAAGGAGACUGCCAGUGAUAAACUGGAGGAAGGUGGGGAUGACGUCAAGUCAUCAUGGCCCUUACGACCAGGGCUACACACGUGCUACAAUGGCGCAUACAAAGAGAAGCGACCUCGCGAGAGCAAGCGGACCUCAUAAAGUGCGUCGUAGUCCGGAUUGAGUCUGCAACUCGACUCCAUGAAGUCGGAAUCGCUAGUAAUCGUGGAUCAGAAUGCCACGGUGAAUACGUUCCCGGGCCUUGUACACACCGCCCGUCACACCAUGGGAGUGGGUUGCAAAGAAGUAGGUAGCUUAACCUUCGGGAGGGCGCUUACCACUUUGUGAUUCAUGACUGGGGUGAAGUCGUAACAAGGUAACCGUAGGGGAACCUGCGGUUGGAUCACCUCCUU